GACGAACGAGGGAGGAGGGAGGAACACAGGCAAGUCGAACGGAAAGGCCCUGCUUUUGUGGGGUGCUCGAGUGGCGAACGGGUGAGUAACACGUGAGUAACCUGCCCUUGACUUUGGGGUAACUUCAGGAAACUGGGGCUAAUACCGGAUAGGAGCUCCUGCUGCAUGGUGGGGGUUGGAAAGUUUCGGCGGUUGGGGAUGGACUCGCGGCUUAUCAGCUUGUUGGUGGGGUAGUGGCGUACCAAGGCUUUGACGGGUAGCCGGCCUGAGAGGGUGACCGGCCACAUUGCGACUGAGCUACGGCGCAGACUCCUACGUGACGCAGCAGUGGGGAAUAUUGCACAAUGGGCGGAAGCCUGAGGCAGCAACGCCGCGUGCGGGAUGACGGCCUUCGGGUUGUAAACCGAUUUCUCCUGUGACGAAGCGUGAGUGACGGUAAUGGGUAAAGAAGCACCGGCUAACUACGUG
Molecule: ribosomal RNA, 468 nt
Filed under: uncultured bacterium
Lineage: Bacteria
Description: partial 16S ribosomal RNA
Rfam family: Bacterial small subunit ribosomal RNA
Source: RNAcentral